This 709-nucleotide long non-coding RNA is filed under the name Medicago truncatula (barrel medic). Its description in RNAcentral is "long non-coding RNA (MTRU_LNC001573)". Lineage: Eukaryota; Viridiplantae; Streptophyta; Magnoliopsida; Fabales; Fabaceae. The record is from RNAcentral.
CAGUCAUAAAGAAAUUCUAACAUAUUUAACCUAAUAAUCAACCGCGGAAGCUUUUGGAACAACUUAUGGCUUUUAACUUUAUUAAAAAAAUUAUAGAAAAAUAUAGUUAUUUAUAAAUAGUAAAAUCAUGUCUCACUAACCAAUUGCAGACUUCACAUCUUCAAAUCGUGAGGGACAAAAAGCACCUAUAACAAAUACAACAGCGUGUGACUCCCAGAUUGAGCGAAGACCAAGCUGAUAAGCAGGGAAAUUAAAUUAACAUCUUAUUAUAGAGAGAAAGCUUACAGUAGAUUGUGUGUAUGGAGAAUUCGAACUGAUUGAGAAAGCUUACAACAGAGGAUGGUAACAAACUAAUUUGGGGAUUAGGGUUUAGGGAAGAAAGAUGCAAUUAAGUUUUCUGAAGAAAGCCAUGACUUUGGGGAAGAAAGAUGAAACUGAUUUUGGGAUUUUUUGAUGGGAUGAAAGAUUGAAAGAAGGAGUGGGGUGUUAUGGCGCGACUUGUGAAAGUGGAGAGAAAAUUUUGGAGAAAAAAAAGUGUGGGAAUGAAAUGUGUAUUACGCGCCUUCUAUAUUUUUGUCCAGUAUAUCAAAGUUAUCCACGGUCAAAACAAAACCGUGAGAGUCAUAAUGUGGCAAGUGGACCCUUCUAUCAUUUUUUGUUGUUAUCCACGCCUAAGGAAAAAUCGUGGCAAUUUUAGUGUGGCCAAUAG